AGUGAACGCUGGCGGUAGGCCUAACACAUGCAAGUCGAACGGCAGCACAGUAAGAGCUUGCUCUUACGGGUGGCGAGUGGCGGACGGGUGAGGAAUACAUCGGAAUCUACUUUUUCGUGGGGGAUAACGAAGGGAAACUUACGCUAAUACCGCAUACGACCUAUGGGUGAAAGCAGGGGAUCUUCGGACCUUGCGCGAUUGAAUGAGCCGAUGUCGGAUUAGCUAGUUGGCGGGGUAAAAGCCCACCAAGGCGACGAUCCGUAGCUGGUCUGAGAGGAUGAUCAGCCACACUAGAACUGAGACACGGUCCAGACUCCUACGGGAUGCAGCAGUGGGGAAUAUUGGACGAAGGGCGCAAGCCUGAUCCAGCCAUACCGCGUGAGUGAAGAAGGCCUUCGGGUUGUAAAGCCCUUUUGUUGGGAAAGAAAAGCAGCAGGUUAAUACCCCGCUGUUCUGACGGUACCCAAAGAAUAAGCACCGGCUAAGUUCGUG
Molecule: ribosomal RNA, 492 nt
Filed under: uncultured bacterium
Lineage: Bacteria
Description: partial 16S ribosomal RNA
Rfam family: Bacterial small subunit ribosomal RNA
Source: RNAcentral